Molecule: ribosomal RNA, 480 nt
Filed under: uncultured bacterium
Lineage: Bacteria
Description: bacterial SSU rRNA
Rfam family: Bacterial small subunit ribosomal RNA
Source: RNAcentral
UAGUCCACGCCGUAAACGAUGAAUGCUAGUUGUCAGGGGGCAUGCCCUUUGGUGACGCAGCUAACGCAUUAAGUAUCCCACCUGGGGAGUACGUUCGCAAGAAUGAAACUCAAAGGAAUUGACGGGGGCCCGCACAAGCGGUGGAGCAUGUGGUUUAAUUCGAUGAUACGCGAGGAACCUUACCAGGGCUUAAAUGUAGUCUGACAGCUUUAGAGAUAGAGUUUUCUUCGGACAGAUUACAAGGUGCUGCAUGGUUGUCGUCAGCUCGUGCCGUGAGGUGUCAGGUUAAGUCCUAUAACGAGCGCAACCCCUGUUGUUAGUUGCCAGCGAGUAAUGUCGGGAACUCUAGCAAGACUGCCGGUGCAAACCGCGAGGGAAGGUGGGGAUGACGUCAAAUCAUCACGGCCCUUACGUCCUGGGGCCACACACGUGCUACAAUGGUAGUACAGAGAGCAGCCACGUCGCGAGGCGGAGCGAAUC